GAUGAACGCUGGCGGCGUGCCUAAUACAUGCAAGUCGAGCGAACGGACGAGAAGCUUGCGUCUCUGAUGUUAUCGGCGGACGGGUGAUUAACACGUGGAAAACCUCCCUAUGAGACUGGGAUACCUUCGGGAAACCGGAGCUAAUCCCGGAUGAUAUUUUGAUCCGCAUGGUUCAGAAGUGAAAGACGGUCUUUCUGUCACUUAUAGAUGGAUCCGCGCUGCAUUCGCUAGUUGGUAAGGUAACGGCUUAUCAAGGCAACGAUGCAUAGCCGACCUGGGAGGGUGAUCGGCGACACCGGACCUGAGCUGCGGUCCAGACUCGUAUGGUACGCAGCGGUAGGGUGUCUUCCGCAAUGGGCGAAAGCCUGACGGAGUGCAGCCGCGUGAGUGAUGAAGGUCUUCGGAUCGUAUAGCUCUGUUAUUAGGGAGGAACAGAUGUGUAAGUAACUGUGCACAGCUUGACGGUACCCAAUCAGAAAGCCACGGCUAACUACGUG
Molecule: ribosomal RNA, 497 nt
Filed under: uncultured bacterium
Lineage: Bacteria
Description: partial 16S ribosomal RNA
Rfam family: Bacterial small subunit ribosomal RNA
Source: RNAcentral